CACGUAGGGCGCAAGCGUUGUCCGGAAUUAUUGGGCGUAAAGAGCUCGUAGGCGGUCUGUUGCGUCCGCUGUGAAAACUCGGGGCUUAACCCCGAGCCUGCAGUGGAUACGGGCAGACUAGAGUUCGGUAGGGGAGACUGGAAUUCCUGGUGUAGCGGUGAAAUGCGCAGAUAUCAGGAGGAACACCAGUGGCGAAGGCGGUGCUCUGGGCCGGAACUGACGCUGAGGAGCGAAAGCGUGGGAGCAA
This 247-nucleotide ribosomal RNA is filed under the name uncultured bacterium. RNAcentral's name for it is "partial 16S ribosomal RNA". It matches the Rfam family "Bacterial small subunit ribosomal RNA", at positions 524 to 771 of the family's 1533-position model. The record is from RNAcentral.